Molecule: ribosomal RNA, 488 nt
Filed under: uncultured bacterium
Lineage: Bacteria
Description: bacterial SSU rRNA
Rfam family: Bacterial small subunit ribosomal RNA
Source: RNAcentral
GAUGAACGCUAGCGGGAGGCUUAACACAUGCAAGUCGAGGGGCAGCACGAUGUAGCAAUACGUUGGUGGCGACCGGCGCACGGGUGAGUAACACGUAUGUAACCUACCCUGUACAGGGGGAUAACCCGGAGAAAUUCGGACUAAUACUCCAGUGGAGAUAUACUGGGGCAUCCGUGGUAUAUUUAAAGCUUCGGUGGUACGGGAUGGGCAUGCGGAACAUUAGCUAGUUGGCAGGGUAACGGCCUACCAAGGCUACGAUGUUUAGGGGACCUGAGAGGGUGAUCCCCCACACUGGUACUGAGACACGGACCAGACUCCUACGGGAGGCAGCAGUGAGGAAUAUUGGUCAAUGGGCGGAAGCCUGAACCAGCCAUCCCGCGUGCAGGAAGACGGCCCUAUGGGUUGUAAACUGCUUUUCCAGGGGGAGAAACUUUCCGAUGCAUCGGGAUUUGACGGUACCCUGGGAAUAAGCAUCGGCUAACUCCGUG